RNAcentral lists this ribosomal RNA (699 nucleotides) under Triticum aestivum (bread wheat). RNAcentral's name for it is "partial small subunit ribosomal RNA". The record is from RNAcentral. Lineage: Eukaryota; Viridiplantae; Streptophyta; Magnoliopsida; Poales; Poaceae.
AUGGCCCUAUUUGACGAGUUCUUUGUUGGGUCCAUUGACCUUGCUCGGCUGAACUAUGGGGUAAUCACCCUCAUCCCCAAAGUGACUGGGGCCUCGGACAUCUGACUGUUCUGGACGAUUACGGUGAUUAAUGUCAUCUUCCGCAUCCUCGCAAAGGGGUACGCCAUUAGGGUGGCCCCUAUUGCCGACCAGAUUACCCAUCCAGACUAGUCGACCUUCAUUCAGGGCCGCUAUAUCCUUGAUGGGGUCUUGGUGUUCCACGAAGCUCUCCAUGAGGUGCACUCCAAACACCUCAAGGCAGUCUUCUUGAAACUGGACUUCCACAAGGCAUACGACACGGUUAGUUGGCCCUUCCUUCGGGAAUGCCUGCUCCGUAAGGGCUUUGACAACAUGUGGAUAACCCAAGUGAUGCAGUUGGUAUCCUCGGGCCGCACCGCGGUGAACAUCAAUGGGGAGAUCGACCCUUUCUUCCACACAUUCUGUGGGGUUCGCCAGGGUGAUCCCUUCUCUCCAUUCCUGUUUAACAUGGUUGUCGAUGCUCUGGCGGCCAUCCUGGAUAAGGCCAAGGCGGCAGGUCACAUUGAUACGUCCAUUUUGCAUCAUGCUUUUAUAUCGAUAUUUAUUGCAUUAUGGGCUGUUAUUACACAUUAUGUCACAAUACUUAUGCCUAUUCUCUCUUAUUUUACAAGGUUUACAUAA